AGUGAACGCUGGCGGUAGGCCUAACACAUGCAAGUCGAACGGCAGCACAGUAAGAGCUUGCUCUUACGGGUGGCGAGUGGCGGACGGGUGAGGAAUACAUCGGAAUCUACUUUUUCGUGGGGGAUAACGUAGGGAAACUUACGCUAAUACCGCAUACGACCUACGGGUGAAAGCAGGGGAUCUUCGGACCUUGCGCGAUUGAAUGAGCCGAUGUCGGAUUAGCUAGUUGGCGGGGUAAAGGCCCACCAAGGCGACGAUCCGUAGCUGGUCUGAGAGGAUGAUCAGCCACACUGGAACUGAGACACGGUCCAGACUCCUACGGGAGGCAGCAGUGGGGAAUAUUGGGCAAUGGGCGCAAGCCUGGUCCAGCCAUACCGCGUGAGUGAAGAAGGCCUUCGGGUUGUAAAGCCCUUUUGUUGGGAAAGAAAAGCAGCAGGUUAAUACCCCGCUGUUCUGACGGUACCCAAAGAAUAAGCACCGGCUAACUUCGUG
Molecule: ribosomal RNA, 492 nt
Filed under: uncultured bacterium
Lineage: Bacteria
Description: partial 16S ribosomal RNA
Rfam family: Bacterial small subunit ribosomal RNA
Source: RNAcentral